This 433-nucleotide ribosomal RNA is filed under the name uncultured bacterium. Its description in RNAcentral is "partial 16S ribosomal RNA". It matches the Rfam family "Bacterial small subunit ribosomal RNA", at positions 29 to 507 of the family's 1533-position model. The record is from RNAcentral.
AACGAACGCUGGCGGCAUGCCUAACACAUGCAAGUCGAACGAAACCGUCUGCUUUCCCUUCUCAAUGGUGCGUACCCCGUUGGAAACCGCCCUUAGAUUCCGAGUAACUUCCCGAAACAGGUUCUAUUACCGCCUAGUGUCCUCGGUCCAAUGCUUUAUGGCCUUUGGGUGGGUCCGCGGUGGAUUAGCUCGUUUGUCGGGUAAUUGCCUACCAAGGCGACGCUCCUUAGCUUGUCUGAGAGGUUGAGCAGCCACACUGGGACUGAGGCACGGCCCAGACUCGUACGGGAGGCAGAAGUGGGGAAUAUUGGACAAGGGGCGAAAGCCUGAGCAAGCAAUGCCGCGUGAGGGAUGAAGGUCUUAGGGUUGUAAAGCUCUUUUACCCGGGAUGAUAAUGACAGUACCGGGAGAAUAAGCACCGGCUAACUCCGUG